Non-coding RNA from Pelobates cultripes (western spadefoot toad), 98 nucleotides. The record is from the annotation of a GenBank genome assembly. Lineage: Eukaryota; Metazoa; Chordata; Amphibia; Anura; Pelobatidae.
UAUAUAUAUAUAUAUAUAUAGGUGGGCAGUAUAUGCAGUGUAUGUGUAUAUAUAUAUACACACACACUGCAUACUCUGCCCACCCAUAUAUAUAUAUA